UUUUGAGUGUAAGUAUGUCCCAUGCAAUAUUUGGGACAUACUUAUACUUUGU
Molecule: microRNA precursor, 52 nt
Organism: Pan troglodytes (chimpanzee)
Lineage: Eukaryota; Metazoa; Chordata; Mammalia; Primates; Hominidae
Rfam family: mir-1302 microRNA precursor family
Source: Rfam